This 355-nucleotide ribosomal RNA is filed under the name uncultured bacterium. RNAcentral describes it as "partial 16S ribosomal RNA". It matches the Rfam family "Bacterial small subunit ribosomal RNA", at positions 338 to 709 of the family's 1533-position model. The record is from RNAcentral.
CCUACGGGAGGCAGCAGUGGGGAAUAUUGCACAAUGGGCGGAAGCCUGAUGCAGCGACGCCGCGUGAGUGAAGAAGUUUUUCGGUAUGGAAAGCUCGAUCAGUAGGGAAGGAGAAAGUCGGUACCGGACUCAGAUGCCCCGGCUAACUACGUGCCAGCAGCCUCGGUCAUACGUAGGGGGCAAGCGUUAUCCGGAUUUACGGGGGGUAACGGGAUCGUAGACGGCUGUGCAAGGCUGCAGUGAAAGCACAGGGCUCAACCCUGGGACUGCUUUGGAAACUGGGGCGCUAGAGUGCUGGUGAGGUAAGUGGAAUGCGUGGUGUAGCGGUGAAAUGCGUAGAUAUGAGGAGGAACAC